CGAACGGGUGAGUAAUGCGUGACCAACCUGCCCCAUGCUCCAGAAUAGCUCUUGGAAACGGGUGGUAAUGCUGGAUGCUCCAACUUGACGCAUGUCUUGUUGGGAAAGUGUUUAGUGGCAUGGGAUGGGGUCGCGUCCUAUCAGCUUGUAGGCGGGGUAAUGGCCCACCUAGGCUUCGACGGGUAGCCGGCCUGAGAGGGCGGACGGCCACAUUGGGACUGAGAUACGGCCCAGACUCCUACGGGAGGCAGCAGAC
RNAcentral lists this ribosomal RNA (256 nucleotides) under uncultured Gardnerella sp. RNAcentral describes it as "partial 16S ribosomal RNA". It matches the Rfam family "Bacterial small subunit ribosomal RNA", at positions 99 to 354 of the family's 1533-position model. The record is from RNAcentral. Lineage: Bacteria; Bacillati; Actinomycetota; Actinomycetes; Bifidobacteriales; Bifidobacteriaceae.